AUUGAACGCUGGCGGCAUGCCUUACACAUGCAAGUCGAACGGCAGCGGACCUUCGGGUGCCGGCGAGUGGCGAACGGGUGAGUAAUAUAUCGGAACGUACCUUUCAGUGGGGGAUAACGUAGGCGAAGGUUACGCUAAUACCGCAUAUUCUGUGAGCAGGAAAGCAGGGGAUCGCAAGACCUUGCGCUGAUUGAGCGGCCGAUAUCAGAUUAGCUAGUUGGUAGGUAACGCCUACCAAGGCGAUGAUCAGUAGGGGGCGUGAGAGCGUGGUCCCCCACACGGGUACUGAGACACGGACCCGACUCCACGGGAGGCAGCAGUAAGGAUAUUGGACAAUGGACGGAAGUCGUGAUCCAGCCAUGCCGCGUGAAGGAAGAAGGCGCUCAGCGUUGUAAACUUCUUUUGGAUGGGAAUAAUAACUGUCGACGUGCUCGGCACUUGAAGGUACCAUCAGAAUAAAGCACCGGCUAACUCCGUGCCAGCAGCCGUACGG
Molecule: ribosomal RNA, 493 nt
Filed under: uncultured bacterium
Lineage: Bacteria
Description: bacterial SSU rRNA
Rfam family: Bacterial small subunit ribosomal RNA
Source: RNAcentral